RNAcentral lists this ribosomal RNA (433 nucleotides) under uncultured bacterium. RNAcentral describes it as "partial 16S ribosomal RNA". It matches the Rfam family "Bacterial small subunit ribosomal RNA", at positions 29 to 507 of the family's 1533-position model. The record is from RNAcentral.
AACGAACGCUGGCGGCAUGCCUAACACAUGCCAGUCGAACGAGACCUUCGGGUCUAGUGGCGCACGGGUGCGUAACGCGUGGGAACCUGCCCUUAGGUUCGGAAUAACUCCCCGAAAGGGGUGCUAAUACCGGAUAAUGUCUUCGGACCAAAGAUUUAUCGCCUUUGGAUGGGCCCGCGUUGGAUUAGCUAGUUGGUAGGGUAAAAGCCUACCAAGGCGACGAUCCAUAGCUGGUCUGAGAGGAUGAUCAGCCACACUGGGACUGAGACACGGCCCAGACUCCUACGGGAGGCAGCAGUGGGGAAUAUUGGAAAAUGGGCGAAAGCCUGAUCAAGCAAUGCCGUGUGAGUGAUGAAGGCCUUAGGGUUGUAAAGCUCUUUUACCCGGGAUGAUAAUGACAGUACCGGGAGAAUAAGCUCCGGCUAACUCCGUG